RNAcentral lists this ribosomal RNA (463 nucleotides) under uncultured bacterium. RNAcentral describes it as "partial 16S ribosomal RNA". It matches the Rfam family "Bacterial small subunit ribosomal RNA", at positions 30 to 506 of the family's 1533-position model. The record is from RNAcentral.
UGAACGCUGGCGGCGUGCUUAACACAUGCAAGUCGAACGAUGAAGCCCAGCUUGCUGGGUGGAUUAGUGGCGAACGGGUGAGUAACACGUGAGUAACCUGCCCUUGACUCUGGGAUAAGCCUGGGAAACUGGGUCUAAUACUGGAUAUGACUUCUCAUCGCAUGGUGGGGGGUGGAAAGAUUUAUUGGUCUUGGAUGGACUCGCGGCCUAUCAGCUUGUUGGUGAGGUAAUGGCUCACCAAGGCGACGACGGGUAGCCGGCCUGAGAGGGUGACCGGCCACACUGGGACUGAGACACGGCCCAGACUCCUACGGGAGGCAGCAGUGGGGAAUAUUGCACAAUGGGCGCAAGCCUGAUGCAGCGACGCCGCGUGGGGGAUGACGGCCUUCGGGUUGUAAACCUCUUUCAGUAGGGAAGAAGCGAGAGUGACGGUACCUGCAGAAGAAGCGCCGGCUAACUACGU